Long non-coding RNA from Acinonyx jubatus (cheetah), 3082 nucleotides. RefSeq lists it as uncharacterized. The transcript has 2 exons. The record is from RefSeq and is a predicted model, not a curated record. Lineage: Eukaryota; Metazoa; Chordata; Mammalia; Carnivora; Felidae.
UCUCUCUCUCAAAAAUGAGUAAACAUUUCAAGAGAAUUUUUUUUAAUGAUUGCAACCGAAUGGACAAAUCUGGUUUCCACUCCUGACCCUUCCAGACUGCCCUUCCCUACAGUAGGUACAGCCAAUCUUUGCCCCCUCUCAGCUUGGACACGGAGGCAUCUGUUGACUUAUCUGCUGAGUCUCCCUGUGCAUACAGCGUCUGCUUCAUAUCUGAGUCCCCUUUCUGGCAAUGCCCUCCAGCUAUUCCUGCCAGGCCGUGCACAUUCCUAGUCCCAGGAAUGUGCCUCUUAUCGCCGCCCUGUCCAUCAGUCAAGGCCAACAGCAGCAGCGGCUUUCCUGGAUAACCAGGGUCUGGUGCAAUCCCCCAGGAGAAGCGGACGAGCCGUGGGCCUCGCGCCCUUCUGUUUCUAAGCUCAGGGCUCAUUGUCACUGGAGAUCCAGGUUUUCUGAGGCAAACGCUCAAGGGCCCUGCGGCCCAGCGUGCAGAAGGCCCAGCAGCGAAGCUUCUUGGUCUGAGCGGUGGCUCUGCCUUGUGCCCUCUGGACUCGAAGUGUCCCGCGUGCCACCUCCCUCCAAGUUCCUUGUGCCACUCGGACCCUGCACGUGGACACCUAACCCGGAUGCUGACCUCGGAGCUCUGUGAGGCCUCCGGACAGUCUCUUCCUCCCCCUGGGUUUCUCUUUACCUGCCCAGCCACUUCCUAUCCAAGGGUUUGGUCAAUGAAGGCACAGUCUCUGAAGGACUUUCCGCCUCGCCGGGCUCGGGGCGAGUGACCACCCAAAGGCUGUCAUUAUCCCGUGUGUGAUCUCCUGGAGAGGAUUGCGGGCGUGUGAAAAUACUUUGCCAAGCUCCGUAAGCCUUGCCCUUCUGGACGCCACUGCCCCAGCGUGGUCUCCCUGAGGAAAGUGAGCGGGAGGAAGGCGAGGAGCUUGGACCCCGGGCCCUGGUGAGCCGCCCGCGACGGAGUCCGUGGGGACACUGAGAGAGCUACGUGGUUUUGUGCUCGUGCCUAGUGUUGCACACAGGCGCUUCCAAAGGUGAAGGGCUUUGGGACUUGAGGUGAGAGCUUUCGGGCUGCAUCUCACACCAAACAGCCCAUCGGCUUGGCCUUUGGACCCAAGCAGACCCAAGUUCAAAUUCAAGUCCCACCACAAGACUCAGGUUCUUUUCCCACUUGGAUGGGCUCCUUCUAUCUCCUCAUCUCUGAUUCUUCUUUGAUGAGUUCUGUGUCCCUCUCGUUAUAUAUAUCGGUUUCGUUUAGAGAGAGAGAGCACUCACAAGUGGGGCAGAGGGGCAGAGGGAGUCAAAGAGAGCAUGUCAAGCAGGCUCUGUGAUCGGCCAACAUGGGGCUCGAUCCCGCAGCCCUGGGACCAUGACCUGAGCUGAAAUCAAGACUCAGGCGCUCAACCGACUGAGCCACCCAGGUGCCCCUCCCUCUGUUUUAAAGAAUCCAGUUCAAGCAGCUUCACCCAGAAACUCAUGGAGACCCCUCUAAGCAGGCUGGAGGGCUACUUUCUCUGCUGUCCCCAAACAGCCACCAGCCACACAGAAUUGAGAGGGCCUGUUCAAUGUCCAUCUUCCUGACCACGUGUGGGCCCCUGGAAGGGAGGGACAGGGGUUUAUUCGUCUGUGUCUCCAGUGUCUGGACCGACUCCUGAAACCACAAAGUGUGCCGCACAUAUUUGCCGAGCUAAUUACUUACAACUAAAAACAGAAUCAUCGCCAACGGGCCGGGGGUUCAGGACAGUCAUGGACUGAAGCAGGAAGGAGAGGGAACGGGAAGUGGGCGAUUUCCUGGACCUGGUGGGCCGGGAGGAACCCGGGACUGGGGGACGCCUGCGUUCCAGGCCAGGCCCAGCCUCCCACCGCUUGGCCAUCGCAGAAGUCAGCCCAGCACCUUGGCCUGGAUCACGGCCUCCCUCCCCUGCGUAGGGCUGCCCCGGAUCAUUCCAAGCUCGCAUCUGACGCACUCCGUGCACAAAGGCCGUUGCGUCGACUAAGGUCAGGCUGUGAAACCCCCACCUUCCCUCUGAGCUCAGGGUCAGGCCUGCUGGCAAAGACAGGGCCAGACUGUCGUCUCCCCAGAUGAGACUGUAACUGGCCACACGGUGAAAGACAGAGAAGGGAGCCGUUUCUGAAAAAUAUACGUGUCUCCCCAUCCAGCCUUAUUACCGGUGGGUUUUCUGUCUCAUUUGUUUGCCUCCGAGUGAUUUGAGGCGUUCACUCUGCAUCAGCAACACUUACAAGAAAUAUGAGACGAAAUAAAUUUGCCACAGACAUUAUACACCAUGCUGCAGUAAUUACAAACCCGCUGUCCUGAAAGCAGCCUGAUGGGGCUGAAAUACAUGAAUGCAUAAUGCUCGGGAGGGGAAGGGAAAAGGAAGAGGAAGAGGGGGCGGGAAGGCGGGAGAGAGAGAAAAUGGAUAGCAUUUGGCAUCAGUGAUCUGUGUGCCAAACAUCGAGCCCGGCCCCUCACCGGCUCUGGCUCACUUAAUCCAUUCGGGCUUCCCGUGAAGCAAGCUUGUCGUGAACUCGGGGUUAUAGAGGGGAGAGAGAGGUGAACAGCGGGAAAACGGGCCAGCAGCGGAGCAGAGCUCUGAGAUGUGAGUCAAAGUACCCUGCAGAGCCUCCAAAAGGUGGCACACGCGGAGCACCGGGGACUUGCGAGGCGGGAGCAAGGCUGCACGUUGGGACUUCUGGGAGGUCUGCACACACAGACCGGCGCCGACCCGCCCGAUGCCCCGUCCACCCUUGCACAUCCCCACAGACCACCAGAGCCUUGGGUCUUUGGACCUUCCUCUCCGUGUCCUCCAAUUGGGCCAUUUGUGUCCAUCUAUCUUCUAGUUCACUGAUGCUUUCUUCCACCAUCUCCAGUCUGUUGGUAACUCUAUCCAGUGAACUUUUGGGGUGCCUGGGUGGCUCUGUUAAGCAUCGGGCUCCUAAUCUCAGCUCAGGUCAUGAUCUCACGGUUUGUGAGUUCGAGCCCCGCCUCGGGCUCUGGGCUGACAGCACGGAGCCUGCUUGGGAUUCUCUCUCUCUCUCUCUCUCUCUCUCUCUCUCUGACCCUCCCCCACUCGCUCUC